UACGAAGGGGGCUAGCGUUGCUCGGAAUCACUGGGCGUAAAGGGCGCGUAGGCGGCCAUUCAAGUCGGGGGUGAAAGCCUGGGGCUCAACCCGAGAAUUGCCUUCGAUACUGUUUGGCUUGAGUAUGGUAGAGGGUGGUGGAACUGCGAGUGUAGAGGUGAAAUUCGUAGAUAUUCGCAAGAACACCGGUGGCGAAGGCGGCCAACUGGACCAUUACUGACGCUGAGGCGCGAAAGCGUGGGGAGCAAACAGG
RNAcentral lists this ribosomal RNA (253 nucleotides) under uncultured bacterium. RNAcentral's name for it is "partial 16S ribosomal RNA". It matches the Rfam family "Bacterial small subunit ribosomal RNA", at positions 524 to 776 of the family's 1533-position model. The record is from RNAcentral.